This 253-nucleotide ribosomal RNA is filed under the name uncultured bacterium. RNAcentral's name for it is "partial 16S ribosomal RNA". It matches the Rfam family "Bacterial small subunit ribosomal RNA", at positions 524 to 776 of the family's 1533-position model. The record is from RNAcentral.
GACGGAGGGGGCUAGCGUUGUUCGGAAUGACUGGGCGUAAAGGGCGUGUAGGCUGUUGAUCAAGUCAGGCGUGAAAGCCUUGGGCUUAACCUGAGAAUUGCGUUUGAUACUGGUUGACUUGAGGACGGGAGAGGAAAGCGGAAUUCCGAGUGUAGAGGUGAAAUUCGUAGAUAUUCGGAGGAACACCAGAGGCGAAGGCGGCUUUCUGGCCCGUAUCUGACGCUGAGGCGCGAAAGCGUGGGGAGCAAACAGG